GACGAACGCUGGCGGCGUGCUUAACACAUGCAAGUCGAACGGAAAGGCCCUGCUUUUGUGGGGUGCUCGAGUGGCGAACGGGUGAGUAACACGUGAGUAACCUGCCCUGGACUUUGGGAUAACUUCAGGAAACUGGGGCUAAUACCGGAUAGGAGCUCCUGCUGCAUGGUGGGGGUUGGAAAGUUUCGGCGGUUGGGGAUGGACUCGCGGCUUAUCAGCUUGUUGGUGGGGUAGUGGCUUACCAAGGCUUUGACGGGUAGCCGGCCUGAGAGGGUGACCGGCCACAUUGGGCCUGAGAUACGGCCCAGACUCCUACGGGAGGCAGCAGUGGGGAAUAUUGCACAAUGGGCGGAAGCCUGAUGCAGCAACGCCGCGUGCGGGAUGACGGCCUUCGGGUUGUAAACCGCUUUCGCCUGUGACGAAGCGUGAGUGACGGUAAUGGGUAAAGAAGCACCGGCUAACUACGUG
Molecule: ribosomal RNA, 468 nt
Filed under: uncultured bacterium
Lineage: Bacteria
Description: partial 16S ribosomal RNA
Rfam family: Bacterial small subunit ribosomal RNA
Source: RNAcentral